Molecule: non-coding RNA, 273 nt
Organism: Nyctereutes procyonoides (raccoon dog)
Lineage: Eukaryota; Metazoa; Chordata; Mammalia; Carnivora; Canidae
Product: small Cajal body-specific RNA 6
Exons: 1
Source: RefSeq, a predicted model, not a curated record
GGUCAGUGAUGAUUGGUAAAAGGUCUGAUUGCACUUAAUGUCACAGCCCCCUUCUGCCCUCAGCUCCCAGCAGCCCAUUUUUUCUCCUGGCACAUUUAAGUCCUGUGCAUGGGGUAAUGGAGCAGCUGAUAACCUGGAUCCUGUGUCAGCCUGUGUUCCUGUGAGUGUGCGGUUCAUGGCUGACAAAUAUCCAACAGAACCAGCUCUGCAGGAGGUCAAAGAGUGGCAGCAGGGGUGUGAUGGUGCAUGAUCUCAAGUUUUCAAUCUGAGACC